GUGUCAGCAGCCGCGGUAAUACGGAGGGGGCUAGCGUUGUUCGGAAUUACUGGGCGUAAAGCGCACGUAGGCGGACCGGAAAGUCAGAGGUGAAAUCCCAGGGCUCAACCUUGGAACUGCCUUUGAAACUCCUGGUCUUGAGGUCGAGAGAGGUGAGUGGAAUUCCGAGUGUAGAGGUGAAAUUCGUAGAUAUUCGGAGGAACACCAGUGGCGAAGGCGGCUCACUGGCUCGAUACUGACGCUGAGGUGCGAAAGCGUGGGGAGCAAACAGGAUUAGAUACCCCGGUAGUCC
Molecule: ribosomal RNA, 292 nt
Filed under: uncultured bacterium
Lineage: Bacteria
Description: partial 16S ribosomal RNA
Rfam family: Bacterial small subunit ribosomal RNA
Source: RNAcentral